GACGAACGCUGGCGGCGUGCUUAACACAUGCAAGUCGAACGGAAAGGCCCUGCUUUUGUGGGGUGCUCGAGUGGCGAACGGGUGAGUAACACGUGAGUAACCUGCCCUUGACUUUGGGAUUACUUCAGGAAACUGGGGCUAAUACCGGAUAGGAGCUCCUGCUGCAUGGUGGGGGUUGGAAAGUUUCGGCGGUUGGGGAUGGACUCGCGGCUUAUCAGCUUGUUGGUGGGGUAGUGGCUUACCAAGGCUUUGACGGGUAGCCGGCCUGAGAGGGUGACCGGCCACAUUGGGACUGAGAUACGGCCCAGACUCCUACGGGAGGCAGCAGUGGGGAAUAUUGCACAAUGGGCGGAAGCCUGAUGCAGCAACGCCGCGUGCGGGGUGACGGCCUUCGGGUUGUAAACCGCUUUCGCCUGUGACGAAGCGUGAGUGACGGUAAUGGGUAAAGAAGCACCGGCUAACUACGUG
Molecule: ribosomal RNA, 468 nt
Filed under: uncultured bacterium
Lineage: Bacteria
Description: partial 16S ribosomal RNA
Rfam family: Bacterial small subunit ribosomal RNA
Source: RNAcentral